This 253-nucleotide ribosomal RNA is filed under the name uncultured bacterium. Its description in RNAcentral is "partial 16S ribosomal RNA". It matches the Rfam family "Bacterial small subunit ribosomal RNA", at positions 524 to 776 of the family's 1533-position model. The record is from RNAcentral.
UACGUAGGUGGCAAGCGUUAUCCGGAUUUAUUGGGCGUAAAGGGAACGCAGGCGGUCUUUUAAGUCUGAUGUGAAAGCCUUCGGCUUAACCGGAGUAGUGCAUUGGGAACUGGGAGACUUGAGUGCAGAAGAGGAGAGUGGAACUCCACGUGUAGCGGUGAAAUGCGUAGAUAUAUGGAAGAACACCAGUGGCGAAAGCGGCUCUCUGGUCUGUAACUGACGCUGAGGUUCGAAAGCGUGGGUAGCAAACAGG